UACGUAGGGUGCAAGCGUUGUCCGGAAUUAUUGGGCGUAAAGAGCUCGUAGGCGGUUUGUCGCGUCUGCUGUGAAAAUCCAGGGCUUAACCCUGGACCUGCAGUGGGUACGGGCAGACUGGAGUGCGGUAGGGGAGAUCGGAAUUCCUGGUGUAGCGGUGAAAUGCGCAGAUAUCAGGAGGAACACCAACGGCGAAGGCAGCACUCUGGGCCGGUACUGACGCUGAGGAGCGAAAGCGUGGGGAGCAAACGGG
This 253-nucleotide ribosomal RNA is filed under the name uncultured bacterium. RNAcentral describes it as "partial 16S ribosomal RNA". It matches the Rfam family "Bacterial small subunit ribosomal RNA", at positions 524 to 776 of the family's 1533-position model. The record is from RNAcentral.